RNAcentral lists this ribosomal RNA (808 nucleotides) under Clostridium perfringens. RNAcentral describes it as "partial 23S ribosomal RNA". It matches the Rfam family "Bacterial large subunit ribosomal RNA", at positions 384 to 1192 of the family's 2925-position model. The record is from RNAcentral. Lineage: Bacteria; Bacillati; Bacillota; Clostridia; Eubacteriales; Clostridiaceae.
ACGAGAAGACCACGAGUUAUGAUCCAGAGUACCACGAGACACGUGAAACCUUGUGGGAAGCAGGGAGGACCACCUCCCAAGGCUAAAUACUACCUGAUGACCGAUAGUGAAGCAGUACCGUGAGGGAAAGGUGAAAAGAACCCCGGGAGGGGAGUGAAAUAGAACCUGAAACCGUGUGCCUACAACCGCUCAGAGCCCCUUAUGAGGGUGAUGAGGUGCUUUUUGUAGAACGAGCCAACGAGUUACGGUAUGUAGCAAGGUUAAGUACUUAAGGUACGGAGCCGAAGGGAAACCGAGUCUGAAUAGGGCGACUAGUUGCAUGCCGUAGACCCGAAACCGGGUGACCUAUCCAUGGCCAGGUUGAAGCGAGGGUAAAACCUCGUGGAGGACCGAACCACGUUGCUGUUGAAAAAGCAUGGGAUGAGCUGUGGAUAGCGGAGAAAUUCCAAUCGAACCCGGAGAUAGCUGGUUCUCUCCGAAAUAGCUUUAGGGCUAGCGUCGAGUAUGAGUAGUGGAGGUAGAGCACUGAAUGGGCUAGGGGGCAUAGCGCUUACCGAACCUUAUCAAACUCCGAAUGCCACAUACUUUGAGCUCGGCAGUCAGACUACGAAUGAUAAGAUCCGUGGUCAAAAGGGAAACAGCCCAGAUCGUCAGCUAAGGUCCCAAAGUGUAAGUUAAGUGGGAAAGGAUGUGAGAUUUCUAAGACAACUAGGAUGUUGGCUUAGAAGCAGCCAUUCAUUAAAAGAGUGCGUAAUAGCUCACUAGUCGAGAGAUCUUGCGCCGAAAAUGUAACGGGGCUAAACUUACC